This is a long non-coding RNA of Saccostrea cuccullata (small rock oyster), 492 nucleotides long. RefSeq lists it as uncharacterized. The transcript has 3 exons. The record is from RefSeq and is a predicted model, not a curated record. Lineage: Eukaryota; Metazoa; Mollusca; Bivalvia; Ostreida; Ostreidae.
CUGUUGCAUGUUGGUGGCUGACGCUGGUUUAAUAUAUGCACCAAGAAGCAUACUACACAUACCCUCUGUUGUAAGACUGGUACCCAGGUGACCGACAGCCAUGGCCACAUUCAGCUGUGCAGCUCUUCAUCCCCUGCCAGAUCUUCUCACCUCUUCGUAAAGCUUUUCUCGGUGACUGGUAUAGUGGCACUUCUUACAUCGAAUGUAAAGGAUCCAUGCAAGGCCUCGUUUUUCCUCCCCAUGCUGAUUCCAGUCCAGUUGACCAUCACAGUCUGGAAAAUUCUCUGCCAGGACUUCUAAGAGAAAUCCAUUCUUUGAUGACUGAUGGAAAAGCCUCAUCACCCCCCACUGCUUAAGAACCCCUUAUCUUAAUCACCAGCCAUUAAUCAGUGAUCACUGUUACCAAAGCUCCAAGGUGCGCAUGAUGCAGCUUCCUGGAUGGUGUGUAGGCUGUUUGUCAACAUGUGAAUCCCAUGUGCAUUUCGGGGUAGG